Molecule: ribosomal RNA, 493 nt
Filed under: uncultured bacterium
Lineage: Bacteria
Description: partial 16S ribosomal RNA
Rfam family: Bacterial small subunit ribosomal RNA
Source: RNAcentral
AUUGAACGCUGGCGGCAUGCCUUACACAUGCAAGUCGAACGGUAACAGGUUAAGCUGACGAGUGGCGAACGGGUGAGUAAUAUAUCGGAACGUGCCCAGUCGUGGGGGAUAACGUAGCGAAAGCUACGCUAAUACUGCAUACGAUCUACGGAUGAAAGCGGGGGAUCGCAAGACCUCGCGCGAUUGGAGCGGCCGAUAUCAGAUUAGGUUGUUGGUGAGGUAAAAGCUCACCAAGCCUGCGAUCUGUAGCUGGUCUGAGAGGACGACCAGCCACACUGGAACUGAGACACGGUCCAGACUCCUACGGGAGUCAGCAGUGGGGAAUUUUGGACAAUGGACGCAAGUCUGAUCCAGCAAUGCCGCGUGCAGGACGAAGGCCUUCGGGUUGUAAACUGCUUUUGUACGGAACGAAACGGUGAGCUCUAAUACAGUUUGCUAAUGACGGUACCGUAAGAAUAAGCACCGGCUAACUACGUGCCAGCCGCCGCGGUAA